UGUUGGGGUAACGGCCCAACAAGCCCGUGAUCGAUACGGGUUGUGAGAGCAAGAGCCCGGAGAUGGAUUCUGAGACACGAAUCCAGGCCCUACGGGGCGCAGCAGGCGCGAAAACUUUACAAUGCGGGAAACCGUGAUAAGGGAACCCCGAGUGCCCGUAAAUUCGGGCUGUCCAUCAGCGUAAAUAACUGGUGAAGAAAGGGCCGGGCAAGACCGGUGCCAGCCGCCGCGGUAACACCGGCGGCUCGAGUGGUAACCGUUAUUAUUGGGUCUAAAGGGUCUGUAGCCGGCCGGAUAAGUCUCUUGAGAAAUCUGGCAGCUUAACUGUCAGGCUUUCAGGAGAUACUGUCUGGCUCGAGGCUGGGAGAGGUGAGAGGUACUUCAGGGGUAGGGGUGAAAUCUUGUAAUCCUUGAAGGACCACCAGUGGCGAAGGCGUCUCACCAGAACGGACCUGACGGCAAGGGACGAAAGCUAGGGGCACGAACCGGAUUAGAU
Molecule: ribosomal RNA, 496 nt
Filed under: uncultured microorganism
Description: bacterial SSU rRNA
Rfam family: Archaeal small subunit ribosomal RNA
Source: RNAcentral